Molecule: ribosomal RNA, 252 nt
Filed under: uncultured bacterium
Lineage: Bacteria
Description: partial 16S ribosomal RNA
Rfam family: Bacterial small subunit ribosomal RNA
Source: RNAcentral
UACGGAGGAUGCGAGCGUUAUCCGGAUUUAUUGGGUUUAAAGGGUGCGUAGGCGGACGCUUAAGUCAGCGGUAAAAUUGCGGGGCUCAACCUCGUCGAGCCGUUGAAACUGGGUGCCUUGAGUGGGCGAGAAGUACGCGGAAUGCGUGGUGUAGCGGUGAAAUGCAUAGAUAUCACGCAGAACUCCGAUUGCGAAGGCAGCGUACCGGCGCCCAACUGACGCUGAAGCACGAAGGCGGGGGUAUCGAACAGG